ACGCAUUAAGUUGACCGCCUGGGGAGUACGGCCGCAAGGUUUAAAAUCAAAAGAAUUGACGGGGGCCCGCACCAGCGGUGGAGCAUGUUGUUUAAUUUGAAGCAACGGGAAGAACCUUACCAGGCCUUGACAUGCAGAGAAAUUUCCAGAGAAGGAUUGGGGCCUUUGGGAAAUUUGACACCGGUGCUGCAAGGCUGUUUUUUAGCUUGUGUUUUGAGAAGUUGGGUUAAGUCCCGUAACGAGGGCCACCCUUGUCCUUAGUUACCAGCAGGUUAUGCUGGGCACUCUAAGGAGACUGCCGGUGACAAACCGGAGGAAGGUGGGGAUGACGUCAAGUCAUCAUGGCCCUUACGGCUUGGGCUACACACGUGCUACAAUGGUCGGUACAGAGGGUAGCCACCUCGCGAGGGCGAGCUAAUCUCACAAAACCGAUCGUAGUCCGGAUCGCAGUCUGCAACUCGACUGCGUGAAGUCGGAAUCGCUAGUAAUCGCGAAUCAGAAUGUCGCGGUGAAUACGUUCCCGGGCCUUGACACACCGCCCGUCACACCAUGGAGUGGGUGCACCAGAAGUAGCUAGUCUAACCUUCGGGAGGACGGUAUCACGGAUCUA
This 610-nucleotide ribosomal RNA is filed under the name bacterium W54. RNAcentral's name for it is "bacterial SSU rRNA". It matches the Rfam family "Bacterial small subunit ribosomal RNA", at positions 855 to 1466 of the family's 1533-position model. The record is from RNAcentral.